Molecule: ribosomal RNA, 253 nt
Filed under: uncultured bacterium
Lineage: Bacteria
Description: partial 16S ribosomal RNA
Rfam family: Bacterial small subunit ribosomal RNA
Source: RNAcentral
UACGUAGGGCGCAAGCGUUAUCCGGAAUUAUUGGGCGUAAAGAGCUCGUAGGCGGUUUGUCGCGUCUGCCGUGAAAGUCCGGGGCUCAACUCCGGAUCUGCGGUGGGUACGGGCAGACUAGAGUGAUGUAGGGGAGACUGGAAUUCCUGGUGUAGCGGUGAAAUGCGCAGAUAUCAGGAGGAACACCGGUGGCGAAGGCGGCAUCCUGGACCGGCAUUGACGCUGAGGCGCGAAAGCCAGGGGAGCAAACGGG